AGCUGGAAACUUUGCCUGGGAAUUUCUGUGCUCAAAAAUUUCAGUCAUUGUUUCUGGUCGU
This is a microRNA precursor of Betta splendens (Siamese fighting fish), 61 nucleotides long. The record is from Ensembl. NCBI's taxonomy places the organism in Eukaryota, Metazoa, Chordata, Actinopteri, Anabantiformes, Osphronemidae.